CGUCGUCAGCUCGUGUCGUGAGAUGUUGGGUUAAGUCCCGCAACGAGCGCAACCCCUAUUGUUAGUUGCCAUCAUUCAGUUGGGCACUCUAGCGAGACUGCCGGUAAUAAACCGGAGGAAGGUGGGGAUGACGUCAAAUCAUCAUGCCCCUUAUGACCUGGGCUACACACGUGCUACAAUGGUUGGUACAACGAGUUGCGAGUCGGUGACGGCGAGCUAAUCUCUUAAAGCCAAUCUCAGUUCGGAUUGUAGGCUGCAACUCGCCUACAUGAAGUCGGAAUCGCUAGUAAUCGCGGAUCAGCACGCCGCGGUGAAUACGUUCCCGGGCCUU
RNAcentral lists this ribosomal RNA (331 nucleotides) under uncultured Streptococcus sp. RNAcentral describes it as "bacterial SSU rRNA". It matches the Rfam family "Bacterial small subunit ribosomal RNA", at positions 1050 to 1382 of the family's 1533-position model. Lineage: Bacteria; Bacillati; Bacillota; Bacilli; Lactobacillales; Streptococcaceae. The record is from RNAcentral.